CGCCAAUUUUAUUACAUUGAUUUACAUCAGCAAGGUCCCGUCAAAACAGUGAAUUCAUUGUGUCAUAGUUGUGUAAUUGAUAUCUAACUAAGAAAUAUAUUCUCAGAUUACCAAGACGAAUAAAAAAGAAAAGUUCGGCUGAGAAGAUCUGCUUCUCAUGAAGAUCUUAACAAAUGCCAACCAACUUGAUCCCCAUCCUAAAAUAUUCUACUUUUUCAUGAUAAGCAGGUUAUUGUGCACAAACAAGAUAGCUGAUAUUCCAACAAACAACAGGCAGCAUUGAACUGCACAAGAUCCCUGUAGUUUUAGUUUUGGUUGGAGGGCUGUCACAAUAUCCCUGUAAUUUUGGUUCUGGUUGCAAGGCUGUCAGACUCACAAAGUUCAGAUAUAGUAAAAUCCGUACUCAUUCCAGAACAUCUGAACUGCACAAGACCCUUGUGGUUUUGGUUUUGGUUGCAACGCUGUCAGACUCAGACUAAUUUCACAAGUUCAGAUAUAGUAAGAUUCGUACUCAUUCCAGAACAUCGGAACUGCACAAGAUCCUUGUAGUUUUAGAUCAUACAGAAACAAAGCACAACAGGAUUAUCCCUGAAAAUGGAAUACAAAAGGAUCAUUUUCCACAUGAUACAAGUACUAUGCUUCUUACCAAAUUAGCCUUAGUAAGUUCAAUGUUCACGUGGUAGAGACAAAUUUAAUUUAUCCUUUAUGGUACAUAUAUCAUGAAAAUAAUAUUGUAUACGCAAUAGUCACCAUGCUUUAAGUUAACAUUUACCAUUCAUUAGAACAAAAGAUUCACAUAUAUUAUCUUCAUUAAUGUUUCGUAAUGGAUUGCAAACUAAGAGUCAUUAUGAAGAAUUUGUAGGUAUCAAAGAGGGUAAGUUGUACCACCGAUUACCGAAAUCACUUAAAUGAGGUCACCAAGGUGGAAUUUGUGACCAUUUUGCUGGGAUAAUAGCAGGUUGAUGAUAGGUGGAGGCAUUGGGAUUCCAGGAAGCACCACCUACCAGUACACCUUUGGUAUCUCCUCAGAGUUUGGCAUCGCCGUCAUGGUCGCAUCGGCAAAACUCGCAAGCCAGAUUCCCUAUCCUGUAGUGAC
RNAcentral lists this long non-coding RNA (1096 nucleotides) under Triticum aestivum (bread wheat). RNAcentral describes it as "long non-coding RNA (TAES_LNC012262)". Lineage: Eukaryota; Viridiplantae; Streptophyta; Magnoliopsida; Poales; Poaceae. The record is from RNAcentral.